Panicum virgatum (switchgrass) is the source of this 139-nucleotide small nucleolar RNA. RefSeq annotates it as small nucleolar RNA Z247. The record is from RefSeq and is a predicted model, not a curated record. The transcript has a single exon. NCBI's taxonomy places the organism in Eukaryota, Viridiplantae, Streptophyta, Magnoliopsida, Poales, Poaceae.
AUCGUCGACGAUGAUGAGAUGAUUCAGUAUAUUCUAGCCAGACUUGAUUUUGAAUACAAUUCCUUUCUCACUUCAAUGCUUGGCCGAGUUGGAUCCAUCUCAUUGUCCGAUCUAUAUUCCCAACUGUUGUCAUAUGAGA